UGGGGAAUAUUGCACAAUGGGCGAAAGCCUGAUGCAGCGACGCCGCGUGAGCGAAGAAGUAUUUCGGUAUGUAAAGCUCUAUCAGCAGGGAAGAAAAUGACGGUACCUGACUAAGAAGCCCCGGCUAACUACGUGCCAGCAGCCGCGGUAAUACGUAGGGGGCAAGCGUUAUCCGGAUUUACUGGGUGUAAAGGGAGCGUAGGCGGCAAGGCAAGUCUGAUGUGAAAACCCGGGGCUCAACCCCGGGACUGCAUUGGAAACUGCUUAGCUAGAGUGUCGGAGAGGUAAGUGGAAUUCCUAGUGUAGCGGUGAAAUGCGUAGAUAUUAGGAGGAACACCAGUGGCGAAGGCGACUUACUGGACGAUAACUGACGCUGAGGCUCGAAAGCGUGGGGAGCAAACA
RNAcentral lists this ribosomal RNA (402 nucleotides) under uncultured prokaryote. RNAcentral's name for it is "bacterial SSU rRNA". It matches the Rfam family "Bacterial small subunit ribosomal RNA", at positions 355 to 774 of the family's 1533-position model. The record is from RNAcentral.